RNAcentral lists this unclassified non-coding RNA (253 nucleotides) under uncultured Alphaproteobacteria bacterium. RNAcentral's name for it is "contains 16S-23S intergenic spacer region". It matches the Rfam family "Bacterial small subunit ribosomal RNA", at positions 524 to 776 of the family's 1533-position model. The record is from RNAcentral. Lineage: Bacteria; Pseudomonadati; Pseudomonadota; Alphaproteobacteria.
UACGGAGGGUGCGAGCGUUAAUCGGAAUUACUGGGCGUAAAGCGCACGUAGGCGGAUUGGUAAGUUAGGUGUGAAAUCCCGGGGCUCAACUCCGGAACUGCCUUUAAUACUGCCAGUCUAGAGACCGAGAGAGGUAAGUGGAACUCCUAGUGUAGAGGUGGAAUUCGUUGAUAUUAGGAAGAACACCAGUGGCGAAGGCGGCUUACUGGCUCAGAACUGACGCUGAGGUGCGAAAGCGUGGGGAGCAAACAGG